RNAcentral lists this ribosomal RNA (253 nucleotides) under uncultured bacterium. RNAcentral describes it as "partial 16S ribosomal RNA". It matches the Rfam family "Bacterial small subunit ribosomal RNA", at positions 524 to 776 of the family's 1533-position model. The record is from RNAcentral.
UACGUAGGGUGCGAGCGUUGUCCGGAAUUAUUGGGCGUAAAGGGCUCGUAGGCGGUUUGUCGCGUCGGGAGUGAAAACUCAGGGCUUAACCCUGAGCCUGCUUCCGAUACGGGCAGACUAGAGGUAUGCAGGGGAGAACGGAAUUCCUGGUGUAGCGGUGAAACGCGCAGAUAUCAGGAGGAACACCGGUGGCGAAGGCGGUUCUCUGGGCAUUACCUGACGCUGAGGAGCGAAAGUGUGGGGAGCGAACAGG